Molecule: ribosomal RNA, 253 nt
Filed under: uncultured bacterium
Lineage: Bacteria
Description: partial 16S ribosomal RNA
Rfam family: Bacterial small subunit ribosomal RNA
Source: RNAcentral
UACAUGGGGUGCAAACGUUGCUCGGAAUUAUUGGGCGUAAAGCGCACGUAGGCGGUUCGUUAAGUCGGAUGUGAAAGCCCUCGGCUCAACUGAGGAAGUGCACCCGAAACUGGCGAGCUUGAGUACGAAAGAGGAUCGCGGAAUUCCCGGUAUAGAGGUGAAAUUCGUAGAUAUCGGGAGGAACACCGGUGGCGAAGGCGGCGAUCUGGGUCGAUACUGACGCUGAGGUGCGAAAGCGUGGGGAGCAAACAGG